This 497-nucleotide ribosomal RNA is filed under the name uncultured bacterium. RNAcentral's name for it is "partial 16S ribosomal RNA". It matches the Rfam family "Bacterial small subunit ribosomal RNA", at positions 28 to 507 of the family's 1533-position model. The record is from RNAcentral.
GAUGAACGCUGGCGGCGUGCCUAAUACAUGCAAGUCGAGCGAACAGACGAGGAGCUUGCUCCUCUGACGUUAGCGGCGGACGGGUGAGUAACACGUGGAUAACCUACCUAUAAGACUGGGAUAACUUCGGGAAACCGGAGCUACUACCGGAUAAUAUAUUGAACCGCAUGGUUCAAUAGUGAAAGACGGUUUUGCUGUCACUUAUAGAUGGAUCCGCGCCGCAUUAGCUAGUUGGUAAGGUAACGGCUUACCAAGGCAACGAUGCGUAGCCGACCUGAGAGGGUGAUCGGCCACACUGGAACUGAGACACGGUCCAGACUCCUACGGGAGGCAGCAGUAGGGAAUCUUCCGCAAUGGGCGAAAGCCUGACGGAGCAACGCCGCGUGAGUGAUGAAGGUCUUCGGAUCGUAAAACUCUGUUAUUAGGGAAGAACAAAUGUGUAAGUAACUAUGCACGUCUUGACGGUACCGAAUCAGAAAGCCACGGCUAACUACGUG